UACGAAGGGGGCUAGCGUUGUUCGGAUUUACUGGGCGUAAAGCGCACGUAGGCGGAUCGUUAAGUCGGGGGUGAAAUCCUGGAGCUCAACUCCAGAACUGCCUUCGAUACUGGCGAUCUUGAGUCCGGAAGAGGUGAGUGGAACUCCUAGUGUAGAGGUGGAAUUCGUAGAUAUUAGGAAGAACACCAGUGGCGAAGGCGCUCACUGGUCCGGUACUGACGCUGAGGUGCGAAAGCGUGGGGAGCAAACAGG
RNAcentral lists this ribosomal RNA (252 nucleotides) under uncultured bacterium. Its description in RNAcentral is "partial 16S ribosomal RNA". It matches the Rfam family "Bacterial small subunit ribosomal RNA", at positions 524 to 776 of the family's 1533-position model. The record is from RNAcentral.